Molecule: ribosomal RNA, 301 nt
Filed under: uncultured bacterium
Lineage: Bacteria
Description: partial 16S ribosomal RNA
Rfam family: Bacterial small subunit ribosomal RNA
Source: RNAcentral
CAGCCGCCGCGGUAAUACGGAGGGUGCAAGCGUUAAUCGGAAUUACUGGGCGUAAAGCGUGCGUAGGCGGUUCGUUAAGUCUGUUGUGAAAGCCCCGGGCUCAACCUGGGAAUGGCAAUGGAUACUGGCGAGCUAGAGUGUGUCAGAGGAUGGUGGAAUUCCCGGUGUAGCGGUGAAAUGCGUAGAGAUCGGGAGGAACACCUGUGGCGAAAGCGGCUCACUGGACCAUUACUGACGCUGAGGCACGAAAGCGUGGGGAUCAAACAGGAUUAGAUACCCGCGUAGUCCCUGUCUCUUAUAC